UACGUAGGGGGCAAGCGUUAUCCGGAAUUACUGGGUGUAAAGGGAGCGUAGACGGUAAUGUAAGUCUGGAGUGAAAGGCGGGGGCCCAACCCCCGGACUGCUCUGGAAACUAUGUUACUAGAGUGCAGGAGAGGUAAGCGGAAUUCCUAGUGUGGCGGUGAAAUGCGUAGAUAUUAGGAGGAACACCGGUGGCGAAGGCGGCUUACUGGACUGUAACUGACGUUGAGGCUCGAAAGCGUGGGGAGCAAACAGG
RNAcentral lists this ribosomal RNA (253 nucleotides) under uncultured bacterium. RNAcentral's name for it is "partial 16S ribosomal RNA". It matches the Rfam family "Bacterial small subunit ribosomal RNA", at positions 524 to 776 of the family's 1533-position model. The record is from RNAcentral.